RNAcentral lists this long non-coding RNA (918 nucleotides) under Nicotiana tabacum (common tobacco). Its description in RNAcentral is "long non-coding RNA (NTAB_LNC015966)". The record is from RNAcentral. Lineage: Eukaryota; Viridiplantae; Streptophyta; Magnoliopsida; Solanales; Solanaceae.
UAAACUGUCAUAUAUAGACGGCAACCUCGUAUUUUCAAAAAGUCAUUUGUAACUCUCUCUCUCUCUCCCUACAGGAUCUGAAAACGUAUUAUAACUCCAAAGGCAAACUCAAUCUUACAAUCCUCCUCGAAGAAUCUGAAUGUCUUAGCUUCUCAGUGCCUUAUUUAUUUGUAUUAAUGGAGGUUUGAAUUUUGAUUAUUCAUAUUUCAAAUAUAAAGUAUGUUUAUUUUUUAAAUUUGAAUCUUAACCAUUAGAUCUUUAUAUAUAUAUAUAUAUAUAUAUAUAUAUAUAUAUAUAUAUAUAUAAUUUUAUAACCACCUAAUUGAUCUGAAUACCUCGGCAUGAAAAUCUAUAAUACAAAAACUUAUUCCAUAAGGUAAGUUAGUCAAAUCUUGUUUAGAAUAGAUUUGAUUUUUCAAUAGUAAACUAGAAGCACCAUCUACUCAAUUUUUAUCUCAAGUGGAAUUAUUUUUCCACUUGUUAAUUAUUGGUAUGACAAUUAGCAGAGUUCAAAGAUAUGCGCAAAAUUAGUCCAGAACCUAAUAUAUAUAAAUUAAAUACUGAUGCAGCACAUUCACAACACACUAAUAAAAAUGGUAGUGGUGGAAUAUUUAGAGAUCAUGAGGAGAAUUGGAUAGUGGGCUUUUCAGGUACAGUACUCUCUCAAGCGCCUAUUACCACAGAAAUACUUACUCUAUUACAGGGACUUACGUUGGCGGUACAAUACAAUUUAACACCAAUUCAAGUGGAAAUUGACGCUAAAAAGGUACUUAGCCUACUCCAGAAUAAUAAUAUAGUACAUGCUAAUCUACUAAAUAAUUGCAGGCACCUACUGAGACAGCUACAUGAUCCGUCAGUAAGCCAUACGUACAGAGAGCAAAAUAGAUUAGCAGAUCGACUAGCAAAUGCAGGAAGCUU